RNAcentral lists this ribosomal RNA (420 nucleotides) under Acanthamoeba sp. RNAcentral describes it as "SSU rRNA". It matches the Rfam family "Eukaryotic small subunit ribosomal RNA", at positions 762 to 1095 of the family's 1831-position model. The record is from RNAcentral. Lineage: Eukaryota; Discosea; Longamoebia; Acanthamoebidae.
AAAAUUAGAGUGUUCAAAGCAGGCAGAUCCAAUUUUCUGCCACCGAAUACAUUAGCAUGGGAUAAUGGAAUAGGACCCUGUCCUCCUAUUUUCAGUUGGUUUUGGCAGCGCGAGGACUAGGGUAAUGAUUAAUAGGGAUAGUUGGGGGCAUUAAUAUUUAAUUGUCAGAGGUGAAAUUCUUGGAUUUAUGAAAGAUUAACUUCUGCGAAAGCAUCUGCCAAGGAUGUUUUCAUUAAUCAAGAACGAAAGUUAGGGGAUCGAAGACGAUCAGAUACCGUCGUAGUCUUAACCAUAAACGAUGCCGACCAGCGAUUAGGAGACGUUGAAUACAAAACACCACCAUCGGCGCGGUCGUCCUUGGCGUCUGUCCCUUUCAACGGGGGCAGGCGCGAGGGCGGUUUAGCCCGGUGGCACCGGUGA